UCUGCAAUAAAGGCACACCAGACCACUGUGCUUGGUUUCAUCAGAUACUGUCUUCAGGUUCCAGUCUCCCACCAAGGAGACCCCAACAAGUGGCGCCCAAACAGGGACCUGAACAUUAGUGGCUCAGGUGGUAUCAACGGAAACCACGCUCCCUCUGGAGACUCCCCGACCAGUUUGGGUCCAAACUUUUGAAAUAAAUGUGUGGGAACAUGCUCAAUUAUUAAUUCAGGGUCAAGGUUAUGCUUGUGUUUCUUUAGAGAAUGGAUCCAAUCAAGAAAUAUGGUUGCCUCUUUGGAAAGUCAGGCCCAGGGAAGCUGGCAGUAUUCAAAUUCCCAGAGCCCAGCCCUGAGGGAAUCAAGACAGCCUUGAAGGGAGAAAUGCCCCAACCUCUGGUUCAGGAAAUGGCAUCUCUAAAGAUCAAGGAAAACCGAAAACGCUCAGCUCCUCGCUAUCAGGUUGAUCCUCCCACCUGGGGCCAGAUUAAACAUUUGACUCAUGGCACUGGGCAAGUAUUGACCCUUACUUCUUUUCUCAAACACCUGAGAACCUGUUUUUGGCUAGGAUGGCUGUCAUCGCGUGUGCUUCGACUGGGGUGAGUGCUUACGAUCAUCAUUAUUGGGCUUAUGUUCCCCAUCCACCUUUAUUGAAAAUUGUAGAAUGGAAUGAGGUUGGCCCCUUAGUUUAUACUAAUGAAUCUACUUAUUUACCUCCUCCUUGGGGAAUGGGGAUUCUCACUUUUCCCUGUGAGGAGAGAACUCCUUUCAAUAUUUCUCUGGGCUAUGGGUCACUGCCUCUUUGUUUAGGGGAGGAUCCUGCUUGUUUUAAAACUCAAGGGCAGUGGUGGGCUUACAUCCUCCUUCCUGUACCGAGUUCCCACAUGAUUAUGGUAAUGUUCACAGCAAUGUCAUUGGCCAGAUCCUAUAAAUAUACCUAUAAUUCAAAAGGAGGGUCAUAUCCAGUGUGUAAAGGAUUUUCUUAUCAAAACUAUAUAUAUAAACAUAAACCUAGGUGGUCUCGAUGCCUAUCUCCCCAUGGCAAAUUAUAUUCAUUAAGUAAUUAUUCUAUAAUAGAUUGGGGUCCAAGAAGAAUGUUUUUAAAUAAUUGUAGUGAUGAUGAUAAAACUUUGUCAUAUGAUUAUGUUACACAAGUUAGUUGGAAUCGAACCACGGACUCUUUGGAUAGAAAUCAUCCUAAAGGACUUAUGGCAUGGCAUGAUGGUGGACUUUCUCCCCCUUGACCCAGGAUUGUUUUGAAUAAUGCUUCUUUGGGACCAGAACAAUAGGAACUGUGGAAAUUGACUGCCGCUACACAACCUCUUGAAUUAUGGACUGGGAAUUUUUCAGGAAAUAAAGCUCCUCACAAUAUCAAUUCCAUAAAGAAAAGGACAUUCCAAUUGCUGCCUGUGUUAAAUUACCUUAUGUAUUAGCUUUGGGAAAAUUGAAAAUCAAUGAAACCUUGAAAGCUGUUAUCUGUUAUAAUUGUGCUUUACAUACUUGUGUUCACCCUAAUCUUGAUAUUAAUCUCUCUAAUGUGUCAUUGUUGAUUUUGAAAUUGCAUAUGGGGGUAUGGGUCCCUGUAAAUUUAGAGAGGCAAUGGAAGGAGGGACUUAUGGCAGGGCUUGCCCACCACUUGUUAAAACAUUUGAUACAUCGAUCCAAGCAUUUAUAGAGUGGGUAAUUUUAGGAAUAUUAGGACUUAUUGCUAUUUGUGCCACUGCAGCAGUAGCAGGAGUUGCAUUACAACAGAGUAUCAAAAAUACUGAAUUUAUACAAAAUUGGCAAAAAGAUUCACACCAACUCUGGGCCACACAAACUUCUAUAGCCAAAGAUAUACAUAAACAAAUUGGUGAAUUACAGUGUGGGUUAAAAUGGCUUGGAGAUCAAGUGAUGGAUAUGCAGCGUCAAUUAAUGUUAAAAUGUGAUUGGGAUUCUACUCAAUUUUGUGUAACUCCUACAAAAUUUAAUGGCAGUAAAUAUACAUGGGACCAAAUUACAUUUCAUUUAUAAAAUUUAAGGGGAAAUUUUACCCUAGAUGUAAAGGAGCUCCAGGGAGAAAUAUUUGAUACUUUCAAUAAACAAUUCCCUGAAACUUCUCUCUACUUUAGCUGAUUAUAUGGCUGAUCAAUUAAGUGGUUUGGACCAUGAGGAAUUAUUCAAGGUAUAACCCAUAGUGUGGGGAAUGGGCUAAUGGUUUUAUUGAUUGUUAUUUACAUUUUUGUUAUAGGAUACUGUGUCCUCAGAAGACAAAUAAUUCAAUCUCAGUUACAUGCUACUGUUACUGCUAUGCUUGCUAUUUGGAAAAGAACUCCUCCUACAGCUACAAUAAUUUAAAGAAGGGGGAAUUGUGGAGGAUAUGAGAAGUUCUCAGGCCCUCGGACAGCCUUGGGAAGACAGAUUGUCCUGAUGUCUGUGGCAGGCCCAGAUAGAGAAGUUAAAGAUAACUUCAGAAGGCUAUUUGUCAAUCCCACAGUGUUUGUUCUGCUGUGGUCCCUUGAGACUCUCAAAUAUUUGUUUGACAUAAGAAUACAUAAGCGUAGCUAAGUUUUUAGAAGCUUUAAGUAGCCAUGAUGAUUUAGAUAAGAUGCACUAAGAUUAAAGGAGCAUAGAUGGUUCUUUAGAUGCUUUAUGUACAGAUAUAACUGGUGGUUAGUUGAUUAGCAUUGUAAAUUUUUAAUGAUUGUUGUAUCCUGCAGAAAAAUGUAUAAAAGAAAACUAUUACCAGUAAACCUGGCCUUAACUCCACACAGAGUUCUGGUCCUCCGUGCUCCUUCAUUUAAUAGGUUUCAUCAGAUACUGUCUUCAGGUUCCACUCUCCCACUGAGGAGACCCCAACAG
Molecule: non-coding RNA, 2834 nt
Organism: Heterocephalus glaber (naked mole-rat)
Lineage: Eukaryota; Metazoa; Chordata; Mammalia; Rodentia; Bathyergidae
Source: RefSeq, a predicted model, not a curated record